ACAGAAGGGAGCUUGCUCCCGGAUGUUAGCGGCGGACGGGUGAGUAACACGUGGGUAACCUGCCUGUAAGACUGGGAUAACUCCGGGAAACCGGAGCUAAUACCGGAUAGUUCCUUGAACCGCAUGGUUCAAGGAUGAAAGACGGUUUCGGCUGUCACUUACAGAUGGACCCGCGGCGCAUUAGCUAGUUGGUGGGGUAAUGGCUCACCAAGGCGACGAUGCGUAGCCGACCUGAGAGGGUGAUCGGCCACACUGGGACUGAGACACGGCCCAGACUCCUACGGGAGGCAGCAGUAGGGAAUCUUCCGCAAUGGACGAAAGUCUGACGGAGCAACGCCGCGUGAGUGAUGAAGGUUUUCGGAUCGUAAAGCUCUGUUGUUAGGGAAGAACAAGUGCGAGAGUAACUGCUCGCACCUUGACGGUACCUAACCAGAAAGCCACGGCUAACUACGUGCCAGCAGCCGCGGUAAUACGUAGGUGGCAAGCGUUGUCCGGAAUUAUUGGGCGUAAAGGGCUCGCAGGCGGUUUCUUAAGUCUGAUGUGAAAGCCCCCGGCUCAACCGGGGAGGGUCAUUGGAAACUGGGAAACUUGAGUGCAGAAGAGGAGAGUGGAAUUCCACGUGUAGCGGUGAAAUGCGUAGAGAUGUGGAGGAACACCAGUGGCGAAGGCGACUCUCUGGUCUGUAACUGACGCUGAGGAGCGAAAGCGUGGGGAGCGAACAGGAUUAGAUACCCUGGUAGUCCACGCCGUAAACGAUGAGUGCUAAGUGUUAGGGGGUUUCCGCCCCUUAGUGCUGCAGCUAACGCAUUAAGCACUCCGCCUGGGGAGUACGGUCGCAAGACUGAAACUCAAAGGAAUUGACGGGGGCCCGCACAAGCGGUGGAGCAUGUGGUUUAAUUCGAAGCAACGCGAAGAACCUUACCAGGUCUUGACAUCCUCUGACAACCCUAGAGAUAGGGCUUUCCCUUCGGGGACAGAGUGACAGGUGGUGCAUGGUUGUCGUCAGCUCGUGUCGUGAGAUGUUGGGUUAAGUCCCGCAACGAGCGCAACCCUUGAUCUUAGUUGCCAGCAUUUAGUUGGGCACUCUAAGGUGACUGCCGGUGACAAACCGGAGGAAGGUGGGGAUGACGUCAAAUCAUCAUGCCCCUUAUGACCUGGGCUACACACGUGCUACAAUGGACAGAACAAAGGGCUGCGAGACCGCAAGGUUUAGCCAAUCCCAUAAAUCUGUUCUCAGUUCGGAUCGCAGUCUGCAACUCGACUGCGUGAAGCUGGAAUCGCUAGUAAUCGCGGAUCAGC
RNAcentral lists this ribosomal RNA (1299 nucleotides) under Bacillus sp. St20-42. RNAcentral's name for it is "bacterial SSU rRNA". It matches the Rfam family "Bacterial small subunit ribosomal RNA", at positions 69 to 1353 of the family's 1533-position model. The record is from RNAcentral. Lineage: Bacteria; Bacillati; Bacillota; Bacilli; Caryophanales; Bacillaceae.